AAACUUUCAACAACGGAUCUCUUGGUUCUCGCAUCGAUGAAGAACGCAGCGAAUUGCGAUAAGUAUUACGACUUGCAGACGUGAAUCAUUAAUUUUUGAACGCACAUUGCGCCUUUUGGUAUUCCAAAAGGCAUGGGGGAGUGAGAGUAUUU
Molecule: ribosomal RNA, 152 nt
Filed under: Metschnikowia kipukae
Lineage: Eukaryota; Fungi; Ascomycota; Pichiomycetes; Serinales; Metschnikowiaceae
Description: 5.8S ribosomal RNA
Rfam family: 5.8S ribosomal RNA
About the family: 5.8S ribosomal RNA (5.8S rRNA) is a component of the large subunit of the eukaryotic ribosome.
Source: RNAcentral